AAGGAAGAGAUGGAGGAUAGAAGAUCAGCUGAAGCUGCCAUGAGGGGAUACUUCCAAACACCUUCGAAGUGGAAAGAAAAGACACGAGGAGAACGCCCGGUCCCACAUGUGGUGUUCAGACUGGUCGUUAGAAGGCGUGCAGGAUUGAGGAGGGUGUGGGGACGUAAGAACCCUCCUCAGUGAAUGAAAGGAUGAAGUGACUAGCUGGAAUAUUGUUGCCGAUUAUAUCGGGCUGUGGCAUCACAGAGGUGACUGGCUGCUCAUAGGCUCCAUCCUGCAUGUGAUUUAGAGUCAUCCCACCUACCCUUGUUCCCGCCUCCCCAGCAUUCCUUGCACCAUGUCCUCGCAUGUGGAUCCGCCAUUUUAGAUGCCCUGG
Hyla sarda is the source of this 376-nucleotide long non-coding RNA. RefSeq lists it as uncharacterized. NCBI's taxonomy places the organism in Eukaryota, Metazoa, Chordata, Amphibia, Anura, Hylidae. The transcript has 3 exons. The record is from RefSeq and is a predicted model, not a curated record.